UGACUGCGUACCUUUUGUAUAAUGGGUCAGCGACUUACAUUCAGUGGCAAGCUUAACCGAAUAGGGAAGGCGUAGGGAAACCGAGUCCGAAUAGGGCGAUUCAGUCGCUGGGUGUAGACCCGAAACCAAGUGAUCUAUCCAUGGCCAGGAUGAAGGUGCCGUAACAGGUACUGGAGGUCCGAACCGACUAAUGUUGCAAAAUUAGCGGAUGAGCUGUGGAUAGGGGUGAAAGGCUAAACAAACUUGGAGAUAGCUGGUUCUCUCCGAAAACUAUUUAGGUAGUGCCUCAAGUAUUACCGUCGGGGGUAGAGCACUGUUAUGGCUAGGGGGUCAUGGCGACUUACCAAACCAUUGCAAACUCCGAAUACCGACGAGUACAGCUUGGGAGACAGUGCACCGGGUGCUAACGUCCGGACACGAGAGGGAAACAACCCAGACCGCCAGCUAAGGUCCCAAAUUAUAGCUAA
This 467-nucleotide ribosomal RNA is filed under the name Alexandrium tamarense. Its description in RNAcentral is "partial Bacterial large subunit ribosomal RNA". It matches the Rfam family "Bacterial large subunit ribosomal RNA", at positions 594 to 1062 of the family's 2925-position model. The record is from RNAcentral. Lineage: Eukaryota; Dinophyceae; Gonyaulacales; Pyrocystaceae.